RNAcentral lists this ribosomal RNA (1441 nucleotides) under Cytobacillus sp. Its description in RNAcentral is "bacterial SSU rRNA". It matches the Rfam family "Bacterial small subunit ribosomal RNA". Lineage: Bacteria; Bacillati; Bacillota; Bacilli; Caryophanales; Bacillaceae. The record is from RNAcentral.
CAUGCAAGUCGAGCGAAUCUGAGGGAGCUUGCUCCCAAAGAUUAGCGGCGGACGGGUGAGUAACACGUGGGCAACCUGCCUGUAAGACUGGGAUAACUUCGGGAAACCGGAGCUAAUACCGGAUAAUCCUUUUCUACUCAUGUGGAAAAGCUGAAAGAUGGCUUCGGCUAUCACUUACAGAUGGGCCCGCGGCGCAUUAGCUAGUUGGUGAGGUAACGGCUCACCAAGGCGACGAUGCGUAGCCGACCUGAGAGGGUGAUCGGCCACACUGGGACUGAGACACGGCCCAGACUCCUACGGGAGGCAGCAGUAGGGAAUCUUCCGCAAUGGACGAAAGUCUGACGGAGCAACGCCGCGUGAGUGAUGAAGGUUUUCGGAUCGUAAAACUCUGUUGUUAGGGAAGAACAAGUACCGUUCGAAUAGGGCGGUACCUUGACGGUACCUAACCAGAAAGCCACGGCUAACUACGUGCCAGCAGCCGCGGUAAUACGUAGGUGGCAAGCGUUGUCCGGAAUUAUUGGGCGUAAAGCGCGCGCAGGUGGUUUCUUAAGUCUGAUGUGAAAGCCCCCGGCUCAACCGGGGAGGGUCAUUGGAAACUGGGAGACUUGAGUGCAGAAGAGGAAAGUGGAAUUCCAAGUGUAGCGGUGAAAUGCGUAGAGAUUUGGAGGAACACCAGUGGCGAAGGCGACUUUCUGGUCUGUAACUGACACUGAGGCGCGAAAGCGUGGGGAGCGAACAGGAUUAGAUACCCUGGUAGUCCACGCCGUAAACGAUGAGUGCUAAGUGUUAGAGGGUUUCCGCCCUUUAGUGCUGCAGCAAACGCAUUAAGCACUCCGCCUGGGGAGUACGGCCGCAAGGCUGAAACUCAAAGGAAUUGACGGGGGCCCGCACAAGCGGUGGAGCAUGUGGUUUAAUUCGAAGCAACGCGAAGAACCUUACCAGGUCUUGACAUCCUCUGACAAUCCUAGAGAUAGGACGUUCCCCUUCGGGGGACAGAGUGACAGGUGGUGCAUGGUUGUCGUCAGCUCGUGUCGUGAGAUGUUGGGUUAAGUCCCGCAACGAGCGCAACCCUUGAUCUUAGUUGCCAGCAUUCAGUUGGGCACUCUAAGGUGACUGCCGGUGACAAACCGGAGGAAGGUGGGGAUGACGUCAAAUCAUCAUGCCCCUUAUGACCUGGGCUACACACGUGCUACAAUGGAUGGUACAAAGGGCUGCAAGACCGCGAGGUUUAGCCAAUCCCAUAAAACCAUUCUCAGUUCGGAUUGCAGGCUGCAACUCGCCUGCAUGAAGCCGGAAUCGCUAGUAAUCGCGGAUCAGCAUGCCGCGGUGAAUACGUUCCCGGGCCUUGUACACACCGCCCGUCACACCACGAGAGUUUGUAACACCCGAAGUCGGUGGGGUAACCGCAAGGAGCCAGCCGCCUAAGGUGGGACAGAUGAUU